GACGAACGCUGGCGGCGUGCUUAACACAUGCAAGUCAGGGGGCCCGCAAGGGUCACCGGCGAACGGGUGCGUAACACGUGAACAACCUGCCCGAGCGAGGGGGAUAGCCGGCCCAACGGC
Molecule: ribosomal RNA, 120 nt
Filed under: uncultured bacterium
Lineage: Bacteria
Description: partial 16S ribosomal RNA
Rfam family: Bacterial small subunit ribosomal RNA
Source: RNAcentral